Molecule: unclassified non-coding RNA, 147 nt
Filed under: soil metagenome
Description: partial internal transcribed spacer 1
Source: RNAcentral
CCGAGUUACAACUCCCAAACCCCUGUGAACAUACCUAUACGUUGCCUCGGCGGAUCAGCCCGCGCCCCGUAAAAAGGGACGGCCCGCCCGAGGACCCCUAAACUCUGUUUUUAGUGGAACUUCUGAGUAAAACAAACAAAUAAAUCA